CCGGGUUGCGGACAGUGUCUGGUGGGUAGUUUGACUGGGGCGGUCUCCUCCUAAAGAGUAACGGAGGAGCACGAAGGUUGGCUAAUCCUGGUCGGACAUCAGGAGGUUAGUGCAAUGGCAUAAGCCAGCUUGACUGCGAGCGUGACGGCGCGAGCAGGUGCGAAAGCAGGUCAUAGUGAUCCGGUGGUUCUGAAUGGAAGGGCCAUCGCUCAACGGAUAAAAGGUACUCCGGGGAUAACAGGCUGAUACCGCCCAAGAGUUCAUAUCGACGGCGGUGUUUGGCACCUCGAUGUCGGCUCAUCACAUCCUGGGGCUGAAGUAGGUCCCAAGGGUAUGGCUGUUCGCCAUUUAAAGUGGUACGCGAGCUGGGUUUAGAACGUCGUGAGACAGUUCGGUCCCUAUCUGCCGUGGGCGCUGGAGAAUUGAGGGGGGCUGCUCCUAGUACGAGAGGAGCGGAGUGGACGCAUCACUGGUGUUCGGGUUGUCAUGCCAAUGGCACUGCCCGGUAGCUAAAUGCGGAAGAGAUAAGUGCUGAAAGCAUCUAAGCACGAAACUUGCCCCGAGAUGAGUUCUCCCUGACUCCUUGAGAGUCCUGAAGGAACGUUGAAGACGACGACGUUGAUAGGCCGGGUGUGUAAGCGCAGCGAUGCGUUGAGCUAACCGGUACUAAUGAACCGUGAGGCUUAACCUUACAACGCCGAAG
RNAcentral lists this ribosomal RNA (703 nucleotides) under Escherichia coli. RNAcentral describes it as "partial 23S ribosomal RNA". It matches the Rfam family "Bacterial large subunit ribosomal RNA", at positions 2240 to 2925 of the family's 2925-position model. The record is from RNAcentral. Lineage: Bacteria; Pseudomonadati; Pseudomonadota; Gammaproteobacteria; Enterobacterales; Enterobacteriaceae.